Long non-coding RNA from Leopardus geoffroyi (Geoffroy's cat), 613 nucleotides. RefSeq lists it as uncharacterized. NCBI's taxonomy places the organism in Eukaryota, Metazoa, Chordata, Mammalia, Carnivora, Felidae. The record is from RefSeq and is a predicted model, not a curated record. The transcript has 2 exons.
AAACAUGAUAAUGACAGCCCGGGCUCUCGCCGGCCGGGCUCCUUCUCUCGCUGGCUCCGCGGAUAUUUUGGGAGGCCCGUCGGUGCCAGGCGCAGUCAGCAGCGAUGUUGAAACUGAGGCUCAGAGAAGUGAGGAGCUUUGGCCAAAUUCUCAGAACUAGAAAUGGAUUUCCAGGCCAACUGACCCCGGAGGCUGAACUCCCAGACACAGAUGAGGAAAUUCAAGAUGGGAGAGCCAAAUGCUGCUGCAGAAGUCUUUAGCAGGUCACCCGACUCUCCUGGCCACCCCGUGAGAAAACAUCCUAGGGAGGCAGGGGUUCCAGGCACUCAGGUGUCCGUGUUGGCAUAGCUCACUGCCCUGCACCACUGUGCUCAGGCCAUUAGGGUUUGAGGGCCCACAGCCAAGAGUCACUGUAUUUGUGCAAAGUCAUAGAUGCAAACAAGACACCUAGGGACAUCCAGCUCCUACUGCUUGGGUCAUGGCCUGGGAGGCAAGGAUUGGGUUUCUCUCCCUGCAUCUGCCCCAGAGGUGCUUUGUGACCAUGACCACCAAGCCACUUCCCUGGACUAGACUUCAGUGUCCUCAUCAAUAAAAACCAAGAAUUUUAAAUUUC